Non-coding RNA from Prunus avium (sweet cherry), 1297 nucleotides. The record is from RefSeq and is a predicted model, not a curated record. Lineage: Eukaryota; Viridiplantae; Streptophyta; Magnoliopsida; Rosales; Rosaceae.
UGCAGGAAAGCUACUGGUUGCUAAUUUUGUUUAGUCUCUUUUCUCAAGUUAUAAUAAAUAUCUUAACCAGUUUUUGGGUGUUCACUGAAGUUCAAGAUUGGUAAUUGAUAUUAACUUCUCUUCAUAUCAGUUUGUGCUCUUUUUUUUUUUGUGUUGGGGAAAAGUUGGAAGCAUGAAAGCUACAUACAACAUAAUUCAGUUUGUGGGUAUGGAAGUACUCUCAUACAGUUCUGCACCAUGCUGUAAUGCUGUUAAUUAAAGGUGGAAAUUGAUUGUGAAAAGCUCAAGUUCACAUCAAUUCAGUCUCCCAGGUUUUAGAAAGAAAAAAAAACUGAAUUUUUGGUGCUAAAUUUGAUGGGAGAAGGAAGUUUUUGAGCUGUUACAAUUUAGAUCAGCCUUUCUUGAAGCAACUAAAUCACCAAGGAGGUUUUAGGUCAUUAAACACCAGUGAAAACUUCAAACAUGUUGAUCCAAUUUUAUCAAGUGGAAGCUCUGAUGGCUACAUAAUUGGAGAGGAAGAGGAUGAAAGUAUUUCAGAAACAGGGGAACAAGUAACUAAAGUUUUGAUUCCUGGUCUACCAGAUGAAUCCAAAGGCUAAUUGGGUGCGCCAGUAAGUAGUAGCUUUUGGGAAUGGAAGCCCAAAUUCAAUGUGCAUUAUGAGAAAGCUGGAUGUGAAACCUUAGCAGCUGAAUGGAUGAUUGGUGUAUACUAUGGUACUCCACAAGUGACAUCUGGAGGAAUUGCAUUAAAAUUCUUUGCCACAUUUCGGCUUGAAAUACGUUCUACAGGGAAGAUAAAGUCUCUAAGAACAAUAGCCAUUGUUUCUUAUUGCAUGACAGCUAUUUGAUGGAUGAGUAUAUUUAUCUCUUUUUUGCAAGAUGGUAGUAGUGUAUGAGAGCGUCAAGAGGAGGCUGUGAGUAGAAGGUGGUUCUUUGCAGGCUAGACAAGCAAAAGUUCACUCUCUGGACUUGCUCCACUUGAAGCAGUGCUAUUUGAUAUUGAUAGAACUCUGUGUGAUUUAGAUCCCAUUCAUUUCAAUGCCUUCCACAAAAUGCUUCCAUAGUUUUUGCAAGAUGUUAACAGUGUACAAGAGAGUCAAGAAGAGGCUGUGAGUAGAAGGAGGUUCUUUGCAGGCUAGACAAGGUUGAAAAAGUUUUUUUUUUAAUUUUUCCUGUUUUCGUUCGAAACUUUUUGUUUACUUAUUGUCCUUGAAUAUUAUGCUCAAAGUAGUUAAAUUUUUGUCCAAAAUGUUUUAUUUGUGUUUCUUGAUUUGAAUGAAAGUUUGGUAUUUCAUCC